AAGUCGUAACAAGGUUUCCGUAGGUGAACCUGCGGAAGGAUCAUUAACGAGUUUUGAAAAGAGUUGUAGCUGGCCUUUAAAAUCAUUAACCAAAUAAAAAUAAAAAAAAAAGGCAUGUGCACACUCUGCUCAUCCACUCUCAUACCCCUGUGCACUUAUUGUAGGCUGGGUCGGAUGACUGGCUGUGAAAGGCCGGUUUGAAAAGCCUUGUCUAUGUUUUAUUACAAACAAGUUCAGUUUAAGAAUGUCAUAUUAUAUUAGCGUGUAACGCAAUAAAUACAACUUUCAGCAACGGAUCUCUUGGCUCUC
RNAcentral lists this unclassified non-coding RNA (309 nucleotides) under Hydnophlebia omnivora. RNAcentral's name for it is "partial internal transcribed spacer region". The stretch from base 1 to 46 matches the Rfam family "Eukaryotic small subunit ribosomal RNA", at positions 1786 to 1831 of the family's 1831-position model. The record is from RNAcentral. Lineage: Eukaryota; Fungi; Basidiomycota; Agaricomycetes; Polyporales; Meruliaceae.